Molecule: long non-coding RNA, 1024 nt
Organism: Pocillopora damicornis (cauliflower coral)
Lineage: Eukaryota; Metazoa; Cnidaria; Anthozoa; Scleractinia; Pocilloporidae
Source: RefSeq, a predicted model, not a curated record
UUGAGUCUCCCUCAAUCUUCUCUAAAAAAAAUAAUAGUUAGAUUGCAAAUCAACUCUUAAAAAUUCAGUAUAUUGUAUCAUUUAAACUCUGUGCUAGACAACUCAAAAUAAACUUAAAUUUUUGGUUUGCCUUAGGUAUUUUUACCUCAGUUUUUACUGGAUUAAGUGUUCUUUACAUAGAAUUGAAAAUUCCAAAUCUCUUUUUGUCUCUUUGAAAACUCAGCUGGUAUGUUUUUAAGCAGUUCAUUUGAAACCUGUGUAGUCAGUGGACUUUUCAGUAGAGAGAGAAAGGGGGGGGGGAAGGGAAGGAUUAGAGCUGAUCAUCCACAAAGGAGUCAGUUUUACUCAACAAAUCUCUUCCUUAGUCUCAAUCUGUGAUGCAAAGGCUUGGUCCCACAAAAAAGAGGAAAAGGAAAAGCUAGAAAGCAAGAAUGCGAAUAUCGCUUGUAUUAUAUCUUCAGCGGACAAGGGGACCCUGAUGGACUUCGUGUGAUGCUAAUGGUAAAACCUAUUACUUAGUCGGAGAGCUGGUCAGAAAGGAUGCUGGUACCGACUUGCAAGUUACUGUGAUGAUUUCUUUCAACAUCCGAAAUAUUCGGUACGGCGGAGAUUACAAGUUUAAAAAGAAUGUCUUGGGAGACAAGUGAUUUCAUGAAAAAUGGCCAUAUCAAGAAAAAAAAUUGUCAUCCUCAGAAAGAACGAAAAAUCGGGGGUCGAUCCGCUACCGUCCCCCACCACACCCGCCUCUUAUAAACAAUUUUUUAAGUUAUGAUGACAGUUGUCUACCUUGUGGUAACAACAUCUGUCUAACACGCAUGUUUCUUUAGACAGACAUUUAGUUAUCUAAAAGGCAUGCGUUUGAAAUAAAGGUUACUACCACAAGGUAGACAACGUCUAUGAAGACUUAGAAACUGUCUGUAAGAGGUGGGUGUGGUGGGGGAUGGUGGACGGGACAUUUUUAACAUUUUCUGUUCCUCCAGUGAUUUAAAGAGAUUAAAUAACAACAGUUUGUAAUGCUUUAUUU